CUACGGGUCGCUGCAGUGGGGAAUCUUAGACAAUGGGGGAAACCCUGAUCUAGCCAUGCCGCGUGAUCGAUGAAGGCCUUAGGGUUGUAAAGAUCUUUCAGAUGGGAAGAUAAUGACGGUACCAUCAGAAGAAGCCCCGGCUAACUCCGUGCCAGCAGCCGCGGUAAUACGGAGGGGGCUAGCGUUAUUCGGAAUUACUGGGCGUAAAGCGCACGUAGGCGGACUGAAAAGUCAGAGGUGAAAUCCCAGGGCUCAACCUUGGAACUGCCUUUGAAACUCUCAGUCUUGAGGUCGUGAGAGGUGAGUGGAAUUCCGAGUGUAGAGGUGAAAUUCGUAGAUAUUCGGAGGAACACCAGUGGCGAAGGCGGCUCACUGGCACGAUACUGACGCUGAGGUGCGAAAGCGUGGGGAGCAAACAGGAUUAGAUACCCGAGUAGUC
This 439-nucleotide ribosomal RNA is filed under the name uncultured bacterium. RNAcentral describes it as "partial 16S ribosomal RNA". It matches the Rfam family "Bacterial small subunit ribosomal RNA", at positions 339 to 795 of the family's 1533-position model. The record is from RNAcentral.